Molecule: long non-coding RNA, 182 nt
Organism: Prunus avium (sweet cherry)
Lineage: Eukaryota; Viridiplantae; Streptophyta; Magnoliopsida; Rosales; Rosaceae
Source: RefSeq, a predicted model, not a curated record
UUUAGGGCCGAAAAUUUAUAUUUAUUUUAUUUAUUUUGUCUAACUAUGUUGUGAUUUUUUUUGUUGGACAGAUUGAUUUUGAAGGCUAAGGAAAGGAUUGGCUUGCUGCUGGUUGUGUUUUUAUUUCUGAAUUGAUUUGCAGGCUAAGGAAAAAGGAUUGGCUUGCUGGUUGUGUUUAUUUC